This 358-nucleotide ribosomal RNA is filed under the name uncultured beta proteobacterium. Its description in RNAcentral is "partial 16S ribosomal RNA". It matches the Rfam family "Bacterial small subunit ribosomal RNA", at positions 411 to 761 of the family's 1533-position model. Lineage: Bacteria; Pseudomonadati; Pseudomonadota; Betaproteobacteria. The record is from RNAcentral.
GAAGCCUUCGGGUUGUAAACCCCUUUUGUACGGRACGAAACGGUCKKCUUUAAUACAGAGGGCUAAUGACGGUACCGUAAGAAUAAGCACCGGCUAACUACGUGCCAGCAGCCGCGGUAAUACGUAGGGUGCGARCGUUAAUCGGAAUUACUGGGCGUAAAGCGUGCGCAAGCGGUUAUAUAAGYCAGAUGUGAAAUCCCCGGGCUCAACCUKKGAACUGCAUUUGAGACUGUAUARCUASAGUACGGUARAGGGGGAUGGAAUUCCGCGUGUAGCARUGAAAUGCGUAGAUAUGCGGAGGAACACCGAUGGCGAAGGCAAUCCCCUGGACCUGUACUGACGCUCAUGCACGAAARCG